This 125-nucleotide small nucleolar RNA is filed under the name Bos grunniens (domestic yak). Its description in RNAcentral is "Small nucleolar RNA SNORA28 (ENSBGRG00000023319.1)". It matches the Rfam family "Small nucleolar RNA SNORA28". From Rfam's summary of the family: ACA28 is a member of the H/ACA class of snoRNA that guide the sites of modification of uridines to pseudouridines. Lineage: Eukaryota; Metazoa; Chordata; Mammalia; Artiodactyla; Bovidae. The record is from Rfam by way of RNAcentral.
AAGUAACACUCUGUGGCAGAUAACCAAAAUUGUCUGACACAAUUUGAGCUUGCUAUAACAAGAAAGUCUAACCUAUUCCGUGUUCUCUUUUCUGUGAGACUAGCCGUUAUAUAGACUUAAACACU